CUUUACAGAUCUAGAAGCAUGACAUAACUGUGCCUACUGAAGACUUCCAGAGGCUUCAGUAAAAUCUUUUUAUGGCCACAUGUCAGUCCUGAGCCAACCUAUGCUAUGAAGGCUUCGAAAAGACUGAUAGAAGAGAUAUAGUUGUCACUGAGGGGAUGACCGCCGGGUCUUACUUUGGCAUAUGGAAGAAGCCAUCCAUUCAAGAGUCAAACCAGUUCAGCUGAAAGGGGAGCAUCACUCUAAUAUCUUCUGCCUAGCUUUCAACAGCGGCAAUACAAAAGUGUUCUCUGGAGGUAAGGAAGGAAGAGCA
Empidonax traillii (willow flycatcher) is the source of this 310-nucleotide long non-coding RNA. RefSeq lists it as uncharacterized. NCBI's taxonomy places the organism in Eukaryota, Metazoa, Chordata, Aves, Passeriformes, Tyrannidae. The transcript is spliced from 2 exons. The record is from RefSeq and is a predicted model, not a curated record.